UACGAAGGGUGCAAGCGUUACUCGGAAUUACUGGGCGUAAAGCGUGCGCAGGCGGUGAGCUGUGUCCGAUGUGAAAGCCCCGGGCUUAACCUGGGAAUGGCAUUGGAAACUGGCUCGCUGGAGUGUGGCAGAGGGGGGUGGAAUUCCGCGUGUAGCAGUGAAAUGCGUAGAGAUGCGGAGGAACACCGAUGGCGAAGGCAGCCCCCCUGGGCUAACACUGACGCUCAGGCACGAAAGCGUGGGGAGCAAACAGG
RNAcentral lists this ribosomal RNA (254 nucleotides) under uncultured bacterium. RNAcentral's name for it is "partial 16S ribosomal RNA". It matches the Rfam family "Bacterial small subunit ribosomal RNA", at positions 524 to 776 of the family's 1533-position model. The record is from RNAcentral.